Mya arenaria is the source of this 2167-nucleotide long non-coding RNA. RefSeq lists it as uncharacterized. The record is from RefSeq and is a predicted model, not a curated record. The transcript is spliced from 4 exons. NCBI's taxonomy places the organism in Eukaryota, Metazoa, Mollusca, Bivalvia, Myida, Myidae.
GUAGUCAAUAAAAAACCUGAACAUUGGUCAAAUUCUUUAACUUUGGUAUGAAUAUCAAAUAAAGAAGAUUGGUUGCCAUGGGAACAUGCAGAAUAACUUUCUCACAAAGGUUUUUGUUGCUUCAUAGUAUUGUAUUCUUGAUCUGAACACUAAAGCUAGAAAAAACAAAUGAAUGACCAUUGACAUAUUUGCUUGUUUCUCUCCAAUAAACAGCUGUUGUUCAAUUAUAUUGUAGCACACGCCAUAUAACAAAUGUUGUCCAAAAUAAACAAUAACAUAAGUUUUCAUUUAAUUGCGUUCAAUAUCAAUGUGAAUCUUCAUUUUACCCAAAAAUUCUUCAAUUGAUGGAUUUUAUUGAUGAACACAAAUGUGUUUUUAUGAAAAACAAUAGCAUAUGCAAAAUAAAAGUAUAAUUUUUAGACAAGAAAUUGUCUCCAUGGUUACCGUGGAAUCAAUUUCAAUUACUGAUAGCUUAAUUAAAACUUUAACAUUUCAAUAUCACUGUCUGAAAGUUUGAAUGUUGUAGAACAAGUAUUAUUUAAAUUGUAUUCUUUUAAAGUCAAUGGGUGAUAUAUUUAACAUUCACUCAAAACAACUCAGCAGUGAGCACUGAACUACACUUACAACAUUGCAGCAUGUUGAUGUGUGAUGCUGAUAAUACAGAGACAGCUAGAGUGACAGAGUUUGAUGAAUAAACUUAAAUUAAAAAACAGAAAUAACCACCAUCUCUCUCAGAGGUCAUCUUUCUCAUUAUUGUGGGGAAACCUCAAAGGGCAUCAGGAAAACCUUCAUCAACCUCUUUGUGCCCAGUGGCUUGUGCAACAGUGUUUCAGAAAUUAUCAUUAAAAUGGGGAUAAUGGAUGACUGGCCACACAUAUGGGGCUAUGGACAAGCUUCAGAGCAGGCUGCCAGGUGGUGGUGUUAGUAGUUUAUACUCCGGGUCCCGGCGUGAGCACAUUGAAGGGUCCCAGAGUGACAGUUCAACCACCGCACACCUAUCCUGGGCAGAACCAGUACUAGGUGCCUUCACCUCUGCAAGGAACUGACAGCUUCUGUACAUGCCAGGUGCAGUGGUACAGUGCGAAUGGUCGUAGAAAGGAUUUCAUAACCAAUCACAACAGAGGUGACCUGGUCCGCCCGGGAAUCGAACCCGGGAUGUCCAAUUCAGAGUCCAACGCUCUACCGAUUGAGCUGACCGGGCGGACAUAUUAGCUACAUUAGAUGACAAGCCAUCUAUGCUGGACAUUCUUCACAAUAAAAUGUGAUGUCACAGGAGCUGUCUAUCUCAACAGCUCACACUGUCCGUAUUUGACUAAAGGAAUGAAUGAAGUCACUGCAGAAGUUAGAUUGAGGAAUGUUCAUGUCACUACCCAUCAUUUGGAAGGAGUUGGAUAAAAAAAGUGUGGCCUAUGUAUUGAAACAGGUCCGAUUUCCAGUUACGGACAGUCUUGAUUUGUCUGAUUACAUUUUUGACCAACAUGAUGGUCUAAAAGAACACUUACUGGUAACUGGUAAAAUCAUGGCCCAGUUGUUCCAAGAGGCAGGCGAGUGGGAAGUUACUAGACUCCAUUUCUUUAUGGGUUGAUCUGAGGUUCCAGUUCAGUUAAAGUACUGAUAGAACACCAAGUGUUUGCCAUAAUACAGCAACAUUUGAUUUGUAACUAUGUAUUUGUUUGAAUUGUUGAAACAGUACUGUUUACUAAAUAAUGUGUAUGUAUAUGAAGAAUAAUAUUAUAAAUAAUUUGUAAGAACCUUUUGAUAUUAAGUAAAAUGUCGAUAAGUCUAAAUAUGUAUCUGCGAAUCAUUUUUGUAUAUCUGUAAAGAUUACAUUGCCUAUAUUCCUCAAUUUAUAUUUUUCUUUUAGCCAGUCAAUAACUUUUCUUAAGUUCUAUCUUCAAAAUUGUCGGGACAGGGAUUAUAGCCCUUAAUUAACCCAAAUAUGUAACAUUCAAUGCAAAAUUUCUAAUUGGCUGCAGUAAGGCAGUUCAGAUGCAGGAACAAACAUCACUUGGGUCCUUAAUAAUAGCUUUCCAUCUGACAUUGAAGAUCCAAUAAAAGGAAUUUGUCAUGUGACUGUUUAUUAACUCUCAAUUUAUUGAAAGUGAAAUUACUUACAUGAUUUGUAAGAACUAAAUUAUAAUGAUAUCAAAUGAUUGUUUAAAUUAAA